Molecule: long non-coding RNA, 1429 nt
Organism: Microplitis demolitor
Lineage: Eukaryota; Metazoa; Arthropoda; Insecta; Hymenoptera; Braconidae
Exons: 3
Source: RefSeq, a predicted model, not a curated record
UUAUUUUUAUCCGGGUUUAAAUUAACAUUGCUGGUGGUUUCAUGAUAGCUAAUCCCUAACAAUUGAUUCCACCAAUCCAAGAUAAUAUAUUCUUCUAGUUGUUUUUAUAUCUUAGGCUAAUAAUAAUGAGAAUAGUCUAUUAUUUUCACAAUAAUAAUCAAAAGUUUUUAUCAACUAACAUGGACUGUCGAUGAGAUCAGAUGCCGGUAGGAUCAAUUUGUAAAGAUUACUUGGCGUGGUAUAAAAUUGAUGGGAUGUUGAAGGCACACCAUCGCUGGUAUAUCUAAAUAUUAUUAAUGUAUUUGGAACUUAAUUUAAGCCCGGAUAAAAAUAAAUGUGGUUUGAAAAACUGGCCCUAAAAAAUUCAUGGUUUUAUGAAUAUUAGAUAGAAUAUUUUUUCAUGUUCGAAAAGAAUUUAAUAUUCUUAGUUGACAUGGAAAUACUUACUUUUAGGUUAUGUAAGUAUUAAGUCUCGAAUUAAAAAAUAGUUAAUCAAGAAAAUCGAUAAAAGGAACAAUUGACACAAUAAUAUCAAAUAUUCACUGGUUAGAAUUGUUUAAUCCUUCAACCCCACAAAACAUGGGAUUAUUUCUAAUGUUGAUCUUUAUUAUGUCUGUUUGUAACUAUAACUCAUUAAUAUAUGUAAAGUUCUGAAGAUAAAUAAUUCUAUUCAUUUUUUCGCCAGGAGAACUACAUAUUAAACUUUUACCUUGAGAAAUUAAUGAACAGUUCGACAAAAUAAAAUACAAUACAACAAAACAUUUUGAUAAAUCCAUAGGAAUAUAAUAUAUUGAUUAAAGAGUUAAAUUUCUAAUAAUAAGGUUCCAAUUUAAUUUUUUUAUUAAAAUACAAGUAACGAAUCGAAAAUAUUUUUCUAUAGACUCACAAAAACCGAUGACAACAUAAUCGAUAAACCAAAUCAAAAUUGAAAAUCCGAUGGACGAGACUAUUCGCACCCAGGCGUGUAUGCAGCGUAUAAAAUUUUGGGAAGUUAUUGUUUUCACCCCGAUUCGCGAAAAUUGGAAUUCCAACAGAUGUCGACAUUUUGAGAUUCUAGGAAACUAUUCUGACUAGAUUCAAGAUGAUGUCCGAGUAUAUUUUUUUUGAAAUUUCACAAAAACGUCUUGAUAAAUCAAUUUAAAAAUUUGAUUAGCUCUAGAACUCAAUAAAACGCGUCGAUUGCCACCUCAACCGUCUCAAUCGGUGAAUUCGUUCGAGAGAUAUCGUUGUAGAAAAAAUGGUAAACGUUAUUUUUCGAAAUCAAAGGUAUACAAAAGUAUUUUUGAGCUCGAAGAACUCAAAAAUGUAUUCUCAACAAUGAUUUCGAACUCAAGGAGCUCGAAAGCAGCGGGAAGUUUUAGGGCUGGCCCGCAGAGUCAACUGACAACAAUUUUUUUUAUUUAUUACAGUGCUUCCGUCUAAACUUAUG